Brachypodium distachyon (stiff brome) is the source of this 5414-nucleotide long non-coding RNA. RefSeq lists it as uncharacterized. The record is from RefSeq and is a predicted model, not a curated record. Lineage: Eukaryota; Viridiplantae; Streptophyta; Magnoliopsida; Poales; Poaceae. The transcript is spliced from 4 exons.
CCUCCUCCCAUUCUUUCUUCCCAGACGCGGCAACUACCCCCAUCCUCUUCCUCUUCCCCUUCCCCUUCGUCUUCUCCCGCGGAUAAGAACAGCCGCCUUCCUAUCUCACCCCCUUCCCAUUCCACCACAGAAAGCGCUCUCCAUUCCCAACGCCGGGAGCGCGUCAAGGCCUCUGUCCUCUCAAGGGCGCGCGCGGGCGCAGAUAGCCACUUCACCUGACCCGGCGUCGUCGUCGUCGCAACAGUCAAGAACACCGCGUCCAAGAUGCCCCGGCUCCGGUGGUUAGACGGCCUACGCAGAACCGCCGAGUCCCCUUGGUAACGGCUGUCUCCACCAUCUCGCCCUCUCCCCUCUCAUCGUCUCUUCUCUUGUCGCUGAUCCUCCAGUUCUCCAAUCGCUCCUCUCCAUCAAGGCCCCUUGCAAAUCCAAGAACCAUCAAGGCCCACGGUAGCCACCACACCGCCUCCUUCAUGUUCGAGCCGUGCCGUAAGUAACAAAUUGCUCCCCGUCUCUCUCCCGGAUAACGAGCACUCUGGCAUACCGCAUGAGUGACGUGUCGUCUUCCGCAUGCCAUCAUCUGAUAUUUUUGAAGGAUAUGCAAAGGCCUCAGUAGCAUUGGGGGCACUGGAAAAUUGGAUUACCAUCUUGUUCCCCCCGUUAUGCUGUACAUCUGCCAAUAUGAACUUCUUGUACACUUGUUCCUAUAAUAGGUCCCUCAUCAACCAAGUUGACGGUUGUUCUCAGUUUUCUGCAGAUGAUCUAGGACUCUUUCAGUUUGCUAUUUCUGCUAGCGCUUUAUGUGCUCUGUGCCGGCCAUCAGGCCAAGGCUUGAUUUGUCUCUAGCUGUGCAUUGUCCACUAGUAAUUACUAUAAACACACCGAGAGCUGCAGCUUAUGCUGUUUGUAAGCCCUGUUCUUAUCCUUUUAAAACUAACCAACAUGUUCUACAUCAGUCUUGCCACUCCACGUAUUUUUUAUUUAUGUUUUGGUACUUAUAUGCCAAUCUUAUUCUGUUAGCAGAUAGGUAGCUGCUGUUCUUUAGUUUCAGCAUCUGCCCUAGUCCUUUUCAGUGGGUUGUCAUUUGGAAUUUCUCUGUAUGGUUAUUUCUUGGUCAUACAAUACUGGAAAUGAUGAAGACUGUUGAAAACCAAGGUUUGCUUGAUUGACUUAUGCUGUCUAAGCCAUGAUGAUCGCGGACUGUGUACAUUUGAUGGAUACUCUAUUAUUAUUUACUCUGACGUGGUAUUUGUGGUAUUUGCUUGUUGCUGCUGCAUUUUCUAUAUACUUAUAUAUUAAUAAAAAUCCAGCAUUUGCAUACAUAUUAUAUUUGCAUAACAUACUGUUGCAUGGCUGGACUCAAUUUAGAGAAAGCCACAUUGAUGUGUAUGGCCAUUAGUCACUGAUUCUAGUUAGAAUAUUUAGCCUUUAGAGCUAACUUAGAUAAAUAUGUUUUAAGAGAUACUAGUAGUAUUUUCCUGGAAUUUAGGAUGACCGUAGCUUUCCAUUCACUUGCUAGUCAUGAUAGGACCGAUAGCCUUGAAUCCCUGCAAGAAAAAUAAAUUACAUUCUAAAGAAUCUACCAGUGGUGCAUUUCACCAUUUCAUUGUUGCUUGAUUGAUCUUAUACAAUGUAGACACUGAUUAGCUUUGUUUUCUUAUAGGUGCUUUGCCCUGUAAGAUAAAAUAUCUUCCCAGUGUUUCUUGUUUUAAACAUCAUAUUUGCAGCUCUCUGGUGGUAUUAACUUGAUUAGAUUAGCAUCUGUUGCUUGCAAUAUUAAGUUUUAUAACUGGAAAACGUCAACAACCAAUCAACCAGUGAAUAGAAAUAACUUUGCAAAGUUUUGUUCAGAUAUGCAAUUCCUGUGCAGAAAACCAACCGUCUCUUAGUGCUAUUUUUUUUGUGUGUACUUAUGCUCCAUGCCUCCAUCUCACAUUUCUGUUUUACCGAGUAAAUAGUCUCUAUUCUGGUGAGUGGUAACGCGCUUAAGUUUCAUGCAUGUCUCGUAUAUAUGAAUUCCUAGUGCAUCUUUGUUCUUGCAUUCUUCUUUACUAGAGCUCCUGAAAUUUCCUCUUGUAGAUUAAAAACACAAAGGUAAAUGAAACUGAGAAUCCUACAGAUGAAUCAUAGAACCUAUGGACAAUGUUGAUGCAACGCUUCAAAGUUGCGUCACCAAGUGACUGCUGAAAGACUUCUGUAAGUUCUACAUGCUUCAAAAUUUUGACUGCAGUAUGUACUCUGUGAGGCCGAAUGCAUAUAAUUUUUUUUAUGUCCUUGUUAAGUGCCAUUCUAGUACAGCUAACCGGCCCCUGCCUCAUGACUUCAUAGCCAAAGUUCUCACUGGAGUAUGCAGUUUGAAAUCCUGCAUCUACAACCAAAAUGCUCACUGAGCUCCAUCUAAUUUCAGUUUUAGGUUGUGACGGCGAGAAAUCAUAAUUUUACUGCAUCUUGUGCUGCAGCUAUAUUUAUUCAUACUAGUCAUUGAUAUUGUAUCGUGCUAUUCUCAGCUGUAUGUGCUAACUAAUAACUAAAUGUUGUUCCUAACUAAGGUCUUUGCCUCUAUCCCUAAGAUUUUACACUUAGCGAGUUCCCAUGCUAACUAAUUUGUAGGAGUGGGGAGUUAAUCCUACUUAGAUCCCUUCAAGUCCAUUUUCUUCUAAGAAGUUGGCAAUUGGAUCAGAGUCAUUGAAUUCUUAUUUUCUUGUGCAUGCGAUUGCCAUUAUUAGGCCUCUGGAUUCUGAGUUUAUCAUACUGCCGGUAGUGUCCCCAAAAAGUUGCUCUUAAUGCUGGGAUGAUACAGGCCCUUAUGGCCUAAGAUGAAGGAAAUGGAAUACCUGCUCUAUCAACUUUUACAUCUCUGUGAUAUUAACAAUUAUGUGUUUGUUAUCUAGCCUGCUUUUGCAAGUUCUGGGAAACUGUAAUGCUCGUUGCAGGCUUGAUGUAUAUUUCCUAUGAUUAUUUUCUCAAGAGGGACUCACAAAGGACAACCAAGCCGUUCAUGGCGUACGCGGAGGUUGCUGCUGAUCCUUUUUUUUUUCUCGAACAUGCCGAGCGGCGUGUCUUUUCCAUUAAGAAGAAAGCGCAAGAAGUGCAAGUACAGGCAACAGCAAAAACCCCUGCAGGGGCCAAAAGGAAAACAAAGAAAAUAGAAAAAGAAGAAACGGAGAAGAAGAAAAAAAGGCCUUGGCAACUAUACAAGGAGAGGGAGAGGUCCAACUGCUGAUCCUUUUGUGUCCAUGUCGAUGCUCUUUUUGGGAGACACAGUAAACUGACCCCACCAUGAGAAUGAAGCCCAUCGGAAGAAGCUAAGCCAGACCUGAUGGGUCCAUGAACAUUCUGCAAGUGGGUGCUUGGCCGUCUCCUGAUGCUGUGCACAAGGGCGCACGACAUGGUUGUGCAGAUGGUGGCUGGUUGAGGUGAUCUACAGUCCAACAGUCAGUGUUGUCUGGCCAAUCAGACAACAAACCGGCAUUUUGGGUCCCUGAAAUUUGAGUCUAAAAUAUUUUUCCAUCAAAUGUAUGUGGAAUUUAUCGCAUCCCACCUUUUCCUUCCACCUAGAAAACCAGAAAAAUCCAUCCCUCGUAGAAACAAAUUAACUGAAAAAUGACUUUUAUUUCUAACCGGCCUCUAACCAGAAAACAUGCACCUUCAACAAACAAAUUUUGUUUUUGUGCGAACUGCUUCACACUCUUAAAAGUUCCUUUAUAUGGUUCGCCAUCAUCCUCUGCUCUCCCAGUUUUCCCAGUCACUACCAUCCAACGUGGCUGCAGUAGACUCCGCUGUCGGACUCUUGGACCUAUCCUCUUCUCCACCGUCCAGUGUGGUCCCCUCUCUAAAUCCAGGUGUUGCUAAAUUUGACCAAAAGCAGCAUCAUAGGUGAGCAAUGAUGCAGACCAGGUUUGAUGGCAUGGCUGUAGCAGAGCUCAACUUGGUGCUGUCUUGGAGCUGUGUUCAUGGAGUAGGCCUAGCCCAGAGUCAGCUCCCUGUGUACCGGAGUAAUAUGAUUUUUUCAAUCCUUGGAUGGACCAUAGCGAUGUGCGUUUAUUCAGCAGUAGGGUAAAUAAAAAUUCAACUAGCAAUAGGGCAAAACAUGGAAAAGUGUAAAAUUGUUUUAUUUCAUUAAGGACACUUCGGGAGCUGAGUUUGAAUGUUGCCAGCAGUAAUGCUGGUUGUUAGGUUUCAGGUUGCAGCUCUAGGAUGAUUGGCUUGCUUUAUCUGUUAUAAUAAUUGUGAUUUUUGGCCAUUGCAUUUGAGUAAUUUAAAGGGGGAUGCCAUCUUUUUAUCUCAUCAUUUGACUAGGAAGACUGGAUAAUAAAAAAUUGCAGCUACACUGUAUUGGGGUCUUGCUAAAUUCCAUCGAAGGUGCUGCACCAUACGUUGGGGACAAGAUUUCUCUCUUUUUAAACCUUGUUAACGAUCUCCGACAACCAAGGUGAAGACUACUUAACACUGAUGAUUCUAUCUGACCAUCUAAUAACUUUAUUUGGCAGCAUCCUUAUUUUAAUCUGAUACAGUGAUGAUUCCUUAUUUAUCGUGUAAUCAUGUUCAAGCUGCCUAGACUUCUUUGGAUCUUUUAAUGGGACUAUAUUCUCUUUUCCUUCAGAGGACUUGCCAUCUGUCUCACCAGCAGCAGUACUGCAGUAGCUGUAGUAGUGGCAGUUGCCUGAAAAGCUUUGAUGCAUUAGAUUGAUAACAAAUGGUUCUUUGGUUAAAACCAUUUUCGUCUGUGGUAGAUUCGUAUAGCCGUUAUUCUGCUGACUAUGGUACUCACUGUUAGGAUAAAUUUGCUGAUCUAGAAUUUGUUUUACAAUGACCUGAGAAGCUCGUUUUUCCAUGAUCGAAUCAUCUUCUCACAAGUAGAAAUAACAAAUACUGAAAUUUAUUGCAUAGUUUCUUUUCUGAAUCCUGUUAUUGCUGCUUAAACUAAUGUUCAUACUUGAUUUAAGCUAUCCAUCCUUUGGUUAACUCCAUAUUCAUUUUAUGGAGUAGUUACGAAUCUUACGAUAAUCAUUGUACAUGAGAUUUUUACUCGUAAGGACCCGAUGCCGUCUUCUGGAUGACGAGGAGGAAGAAGAUGAAGAUGAUCAGGGAAGAUGAUGAGAAAGAUAGUGAAUUACCAUGCGGAUCAUACAGUAGUGAUUAGCACUACUAUGCCAGGCAACUGAUUAGAUUAGAAUGGGAAUGAUAUGUUGUUCUGCUGAUUCACGAAAUGAUUUGUAGUUCUUGCACAUUAGACAUAAUAGUUGAGACUUAUUGUGACUCUCAGAUGAUCCUAAAAACUUAAGCAUUAUGCUUCGGUAUUUUGAGAUUAUGUCAUGAGUGUGCUCUGUAAUAUUCACUAAAUGAUUAUGUCAUCAGAUGGAAUCCAAAGUGCAGAUCUUGCCAUAUAUUCAUUUAUAUGUAACCCAUUUAAAUUA